CAGUAGCCACGGGAAAACGGAGGGUGCAAGCGUUAAUCGGAAUUACUGGGCGUAAAGCGUGCGUAGGCGGCUUUUUAAGUCGGAUGUGAAAUCCCUGAGCUUAACUUAGGAAUUGCAUUCGAUACUGGGAAGCUAGAGUAUGGGAGAGGAUGUUAGAAUUCCAGGUGUAGCGGUGAAAUGCGUAGAGAUCUGGAGGAAUACCGAUGGCGAAGGCAGCCAUCUGGCCUAAUACUGACGCUGAGGUACGAAAGCAUGGGGAGCAAACAGGAUUAGAUACCCCGGUAGUCCCUGUCUCUUAUAC
Molecule: ribosomal RNA, 301 nt
Filed under: uncultured bacterium
Lineage: Bacteria
Description: partial 16S ribosomal RNA
Rfam family: Bacterial small subunit ribosomal RNA
Source: RNAcentral